This is a non-coding RNA of Arachis ipaensis, 109 nucleotides long. The record is from RefSeq and is a predicted model, not a curated record. NCBI's taxonomy places the organism in Eukaryota, Viridiplantae, Streptophyta, Magnoliopsida, Fabales, Fabaceae.
AUCUUAAAGGCAAUGCAUUCUUUUAGUGCUGAAUCAGAAAAGGAGUUGAGCUUUUCAAAGGUUUGAUUUCAUUGUUGUGCAAAAAGGAACUUGAUGUAUCAAAGCAAGU